GACGAACGCUGGCGGCGUGCCUAAUACAUGCAAGUCGAACGAAGCUGUUUUAACUGGUGCUUGCACCGACUUAAACAACUGAGUGGCGAACGGGUGAGUAACACGUGGGUAACCUGCCCCAAAGCGGGGGAUAACAUUUGGAAACAGAUGCUAAUACCGCAUAACCACAGAAACCACAUGGUUUCUGUGUCAAAGAUGGUUUCGGCUAUCACUUUGGGAUGGACCCGCGGCGUAUUAGCUAGUUGGUAAGGUAAUGGCUUACCAAGGCAAUGAUACGUAGCCGAACUGAGAGGGUGAUCGGACACAUUGGGACUGAGACACGGCCCAAACUCCUACGGGAGGCAGCAGUAGGGAAUCUUCCACAAUGGACGAAAGUCUGAUGGAGCAACGCCGCGUGAGUGAAGAAGGUUUUCGGAUCGUAAAACUCUGUUGUCAGAGAAGAACGUGUGCGAGAGUACUGCUCGUGCAGUGACGGUAUCUGGCCAGAAAGCCACGGCUAACUACGUGCCAGCCGCCGCAGUAA
Molecule: ribosomal RNA, 523 nt
Filed under: uncultured bacterium
Lineage: Bacteria
Description: partial 16S ribosomal RNA
Rfam family: Bacterial small subunit ribosomal RNA
Source: RNAcentral